Chelonoidis abingdonii (Abingdon island giant tortoise) is the source of this 963-nucleotide non-coding RNA. NCBI's taxonomy places the organism in Eukaryota, Metazoa, Chordata, Testudines, Testudinidae. The record is from RefSeq and is a predicted model, not a curated record.
CUCCUCUCCUUUUCUCAAAAUGUGUUUCUCUUCAGCAGGUAGGGAAGAGGAGGAUGUUUGACUGCGGAUCUCCCAUGAGAGGGCAGUAGUGUCCAAGGACAGAGCUCAAACAGGAGAAUGGCAGAAUUGCUAAAUUGCCUUAUUUAGUCUAUCUGUCAGUGAGUUUGUCAGGGUGAGCAAGGUUACUGAAGUGUGCGUAAAGGGCAGGUCUUUCUGGACAGAAAUGAGGGGUAUCAACUGAGUUGGAGUGUGUGUGUGAGGGGCUGGAACUGAAGGGGCUGCAGGUCUGGACUGAGGUGCAUCUGCAAAUGAGUUGGGAAGGACUGGAAUAUCAGAAGACUGCUAGAGUGGAAUAUAUUGGCACAGGUAAAUGAAGAUAUGUUUGGUGAAAAAACUAAAUUCAUGCGAUGGGAUAUAUCACCAAAUUACUAAGUUAGUGGACUGAGCCAUGUUGGUCAAGGGUUGGGCAGCAGUGGAACUGAUCUCCUGUAGAACAACGUGACCAAAGAAGAGGAGGAGCUCUUCUCUUAACCCCCCUGCAGCCCUUGGGAUAUACACAGGAGAAGUACUGACAAGGCCCCAACUGUUAUGGGCUGGGCAACUUCUAUGCGAUACUGGAUACCAUCAGGUAUAGGAGUUUGUGGUUUGGUGCUGAAGGCCAAAGACUAUAAAAAAUAAACUAUAUGAUAUUGUAAUGGGCCACCAUUAAGAGUUGUCAAGGUAUUGAAAGGGUGGAUAGAGGAGAUAACGCGUUAAAGGGGUUUUAAAUUUAUGAGCCAAAUGGCCCAAGCCCCCUGGUCAAAGCAUGUAGGCUCUAUGGUUGUGUGGAGCUACAGGGUUACCCUAGAUAUUACUAAUAUAGUGGCUAAGGAUUGGUUGUAGACAGAGUUUGAGUAAAGCAGAAGAAGUGGGUUUGUGUGAACCUGAGGAGACAGAGAGGCAGCCUUUCCUGUUGGGCACUGA